CCUACCGAUUGGGUAAUGCGGUGAAAAUAGUGGAUGUUGCUUUGUGGUUUUGCACAGGACAGCAGAAAGUAUUUGAACCUUAAUAUCUAGAGGAAGGAGAAGUCGUAACAAGGUA
This 115-nucleotide ribosomal RNA is filed under the name Entamoebidae sp. Its description in RNAcentral is "partial 18S ribosomal RNA". It matches the Rfam family "Eukaryotic small subunit ribosomal RNA", at positions 1681 to 1801 of the family's 1831-position model. Lineage: Eukaryota; Evosea; Mastigamoebida; Endamoebidae. The record is from RNAcentral.